GAUGAAGUACGCAGCGAAAUGCGAUAAGUAAUGUGAAUUGCAGAAUUCAGUGAAUCAUCGAAUCUUUGAACGCACAUUGCGCCCGCCAGUAUUCUGGCGGGCAUGCCUGUUCGAGCGUCAUUUCAACCAUCAAGCCCCCGGCUUGUGUUGGGGACCUGCGGCUGCCGCAGGCCCUGAAAAGCAGUGGCGGGCUCGCUGUCACACCGAGCGUAGUAGCAUACAUCUCGCUCUGGGCGUGCUGCGGGUUCCGGCCGUUAAACCACCUUCAUAACCCAAGGUUGACCUCGGAUCAGGUAGGAAGACCCGCUGAACUUAAGCAUAUCAAUAAGCGGAGGA
RNAcentral lists this unclassified non-coding RNA (336 nucleotides) under soil metagenome. RNAcentral describes it as "partial contains 5.8S ribosomal RNA, internal transcribed spacer 2, and large subunit ribosomal RNA". The stretch from base 1 to 120 matches the Rfam family "5.8S ribosomal RNA", at positions 35 to 154 of the family's 154-position model. The record is from RNAcentral.